Long non-coding RNA from Saccostrea cuccullata (small rock oyster), 322 nucleotides. RefSeq lists it as uncharacterized. The transcript has 3 exons. The record is from RefSeq and is a predicted model, not a curated record. NCBI's taxonomy places the organism in Eukaryota, Metazoa, Mollusca, Bivalvia, Ostreida, Ostreidae.
AAUGAUCGACGAAAAUGUUUAAGGAAUCGCUGCUCAUGUGUAGAUGGAUAUAAGGAAUAUAUUGAUGCUGAUAAAUGUGUACUUGAUUUCUUUAGAAACCCUUUUUAAAAACGGAGCUUCAAAAUAUGGUGAGGAAUGCCUAUUUAGCGAACAAUGUGCUUUUUACGGAGGAGUCUGCUCAAGAAACCGAAAAUGCUCCUGCCGAUCUGGUCAUUUGUACAACAACGAGAAAAAACAAUGUUAUCAAGUGGUAAACGUGCUGGGCUCUGCAGUAGGAACAGGUAUUUUUGGUUUAAUAUUUGGUAUCUUGCUAGGAUUUGUC